GGUGAGAUGGCCGAGUUGGUUAUGGCGCCAGGUUAAGGUUUUGCGGGCUCCGGCCUUGCUUCUUAACAUAAUUCCUGGUCACGUUUCGUGGCGUGGGUUCGAGUCCCACUCUCAUCA
This is a non-coding RNA of Bimuria novae-zelandiae CBS 107.79, 117 nucleotides long. The record is from the annotation of a GenBank genome assembly. NCBI's taxonomy places the organism in Eukaryota, Fungi, Ascomycota, Dothideomycetes, Pleosporales, Didymosphaeriaceae.